Long non-coding RNA from Tympanuchus pallidicinctus (lesser prairie-chicken), 1833 nucleotides. RefSeq lists it as uncharacterized. The record is from RefSeq and is a predicted model, not a curated record. NCBI's taxonomy places the organism in Eukaryota, Metazoa, Chordata, Aves, Galliformes, Phasianidae. The transcript is spliced from 3 exons.
CUGUAGGUGACCCUGUUCACUGCAGGGGAGUAGGACCAGAUGGCCUUUGAAAAUCUCUUUCAACUCAAGCCAUUCUGUGAUUCUGUAAUAUGGGAAAAACACAGUUGUGUUAUGGCAAUGUUCUGAUCCUCUUCCUUUAGCCUCCACGUUUAGGACCUGUUUUGAAUACGAAACUGAGCAAAAGGUCAGAACACUGCUGGUUGAACACGGUGCCAAUAAAGCACCAGAAAAUCUCUUUAGUCCAUUUAGAAUUCACUGAUAGGUUUUGUCUCGUUUAAUUCCCCUUAGCGCUAAAGCAAAAUUUAUCCCUUUUCUUUCAGUGUUCUAUAGCUGUGUGUUGUUAUUUUUUUUCCCCUUGAUUCCCCAUCUUAUGCUGUUUGGUGAUCUUUUGUUUUAGUAUUUCUUCACUUUACAUUCACCUUCUUUACCUUGUUUUGGCUGGUAAGAUUUCUCAAGUAGGAAUGAUCAUAUAAAAAGCGUAGUGUGAACACUUAUCUUUUAUUUUCAGACAAAUGGCUCACCACAAGGUAGAGUGUACUACCGAAUUACUAUACAUAAAACAGUGGCACUUUUGUGUUGUGAUAAGAAUAGUUAACCUUGCACGUGACCUCAGGAAAACAGACUUUUACAUGCAUGCAAUUUUAGCUCACUGAGAUUUCAAAGAUCCCUUUCAAACAUAUAUCACAAGGCUUCCUUUAGCACAUUGACUCUUUGUUUUUCUCUUCCAUCAUUGAGUUUAACAUGCUGAUGAGGGCUUGCAAACAAGGUGUCAAUGCCAAUAUAUUGGACCUGGGGGGAUGAAGACUUUGAAGGAAUGUAAAAUGAGUAAAGAAAUACUUGGCUGCAAUUCAGUAAUACUCAGAGGAAGCAGGAAACGACUAAAAUUUUCAGAUACCAACAGCAAGACCACAAUUAAAUUUCAGCCUUCAAAAACAAACAAAAAGUUCAAAGGCAGACUGCAGAAUCUAUAUUUCUGUUGGUGAGCUCGUGUUGAUCAUAGGGUAAGCGCCACUGACCUCUGUGACGCUGCUCAAACACAGACAGAAAUCUGUGCUCUCUUCCUGGUUCUCCAGUAGGUUCGUAUACUCCAGGGUCCGGCACUGGGGUGCCAGCAACAUAAACAGAUGCUUACUCUUGCAUAGUUUGCAAAGGUAAGUAUUAAACAACGUGAAUAAGAAUGGCAGCUUCAGAAGGAAAGUUCCCCCAGAGUCCUCAGGAUUGGAAACAAAAUACGUUUAAAGCAAAGAAUAUAUUUUUUAAUGAUAUUGUGAUGCUACAUGUCCCAUUAAGCAAUGCUUAUUAGUUCAUCUAAACAAUGUUCUGUGACUCAUUUCUUAUAGCUAUACCUUUGGCCUGUAUUUCUUCUACUUUGUUUUAAAAAUACAACCUCCAGGGAACUGCAGCAUUUCCUGUUUAAGGUAUUCACCCACUGCUUGAUUACUUGUCUUUGAUUCUGCUUUUUCUCUGUCUGAGGGAGAGGGAAGAUGGACUCGAGCUCAGAAUGCUGAACUAACGCAUAUCAAACUUUCCUUCACAUAAACUCAUUGAAAUGGUAUUCAUGCUUGAAGAGACUGAGUAUGCAAAUAUCAUUGGAAAAAGAGAGAGAGAGAAGAAACACUGAAGACAACUGUGAGAUACUAAGAGCAAGUUAAAGAAACAAAAGAGUGCAAAUGACAAGCAGAAUUUGAAAUAUUAAAGGUGGAGGCAGUAAUCAGGAGUCAGAACGCUGCAUCUGCAGAAGUGCCCUCCAUGCUGGCCAAGGAAAGCUCUUGCAUCUCUUGAGGGAGCAACACCAGCUCCCAUCCAUGUCCUCACUGAAUUUGUCUUUGCAGA